This 31-nucleotide non-coding RNA is filed under the name Rattus norvegicus (Norway rat). The record is from RNAcentral. Lineage: Eukaryota; Metazoa; Chordata; Mammalia; Rodentia; Muridae.
UGAAGUGGGAACGGAGCACGAGAUGUCUCCA